Long non-coding RNA from Capsicum annuum, 925 nucleotides. RefSeq lists it as uncharacterized. The transcript is spliced from 2 exons. The record is from RefSeq and is a predicted model, not a curated record. NCBI's taxonomy places the organism in Eukaryota, Viridiplantae, Streptophyta, Magnoliopsida, Solanales, Solanaceae.
CUUAAUGGGAGAAAAUUAUCUAUUGCAUCACUUUUUAAUUUCCCUCUACAAUAUUUCACUUAAGUCCGUCAAAAAAAUAUUUCUCUUUCUGUAGCAAAAAAUUAUUUCUCUUUCUGUAGAAAAUAUCAAAAUCAAGUAGAAAAUUAGAAAAUAUCAAAAUCCCUCUUUAUGUAGCAAAUCAGAAAAUUCACAAUUCAAAUCUACUCCAAUUUGAAGCAAAGAGAUUCCUUCUUCUGAUACUCAUCAUUUGUUACUUCAUCGUACCAUCUCUCUUUCACAUUUCUUCUUCUCCAAACAAAGAAAGAAGAUGAAUAAAGAUAUUGAGAUGGCGGAGCAACUCUCUUCACAAUCUUACACCAUAAGUACAAUCUUACUACAAUUCUCUUCACAAUUGAUUUAUAUGGUGUAAUUAACCCAAGUUAUAUUUGUAACUUUUGGAUAUGUUUAUUUUGACUAAAUGUUUUGUUUUUUUGGAGGAUUUUGGAUGAUUGUUAUUUAGUCAGAUUUGAAGGAGAUAGAAUCGUUGAUUAAGAUUGGGGCAUAUGCUCGUGAAGUAAGGAGGAUUUCAAGAGAUGUGAGGCUGACUGGUAUUCAAUAAGAAGCUAAAGGCUUUUUCACUAAUUGCUUUCCUCGCUGUCGUGAUGCCUAUAGUAGAAGCGGAUGUCACUUUUGGCCUUGGUAAAUCGAACUUAACUCCAAAUGAGAUCGUGGGAUUAUUCUAACACACUUCAACAACAACAACAACAUAUGGAGUGUAAUUUCACAAGAAGAUAUGAUGAACCACUUUGUCUAGGAAUUCAAGAGAAAGCACAAGAAGGAUAUUAGAGUAUUAUAAUUUGUUAUAUGUGUAAAUACUAAUUUAUAUAGUUGCAUAAAAUUUUAAUUUGUAUUAUUAUAUUAAUGAAAGAUUUUGUUGGUAUGUGUA